GAAUUCCAUGACCCAGUUUACAGUAAAUUGGAAGUAGACAGAAGGUGUAUUAGUCUGACCACAAAGAUGGAAAAGAAAAUCUAUCAAAAAAGAGACAGACUACUCAGUCAGAUAAUGAGGCCCUUCAAGUUAUAAAUAAGCUUUCCUGCUUAUAUCAGGACACCUUCAUCCUAUUAUUGUAUUAUAGCAUAGUACAAUUAUAUUUGGUCACAAUACUGACAAUGAGUCAUCCACAGCAUCAUCACCCAGCAUUUAUUGAUGUCUACUGUAAAGUAGAGUUGGAUGGCACCAUUUCUGCUCUCAAACAGUUUAAAAGAUCCCUGUGCAGAAAAAGACGUAUUUAGAACAUUUUGGUUGGUAAGGUGAUAUGUAACAAACUUGAGAUCUUAUAGGAUAGGAGAACACUAGGACACUAAUUAGGAACUGGUCCCAGGAACAAAGACCUUCUGGACUCAUCUGACAAGAUAAGAAUCAUCAAGCAUUCUUCCAGCAGAAAGUGACAAAGCCCUCCUUGAGCUGCUCAUGAGAAUUCACAAAUUUUUCAGAUAAAAGAUGCCUAUUUUAUUCUGGCUGAAAGCAUGAACAGAAUAAACAAUGAGCUCUGUGAAGAAUGUUCUAUGAACCCGAAUCAAACUCAAACUCCUGUGUCACUCCGGUACGCCUGAUCACUGGAUAUAACCACGUAUUGGUCCAGAACCUCCCUCUCUGUUACUACUCCCUUUGGAUUUAUCCAGUAGUCUUAGACGUCACCAGGGCCAAGCCAUGCAUAUAUAGAUUGAAAUGUUGUUUUCAAAACCUACUCAAGCUAUCUCUUGAUGAACAAGAUUAGUACCAUCUGAUUACAACCCUGAAGAGUCUAGAUUCCUUAUUCUGCAAAAUGGAUUUAUUGUAUCUCAAGGCACUGUGAAGUUUGCAGUAGCAUGUAUAGGCAAAAAGGAAAGUCCAAAGAGAGGAAAAGAAAGCAGGAGAGAUCUGAAAUGACACAAGAAGUGACUCAGAAUGGGAAGAUUGUGCACUCCUUGUUGUCCCCUAAUGCACAUGGAAGUAUGCAACAGAAGCUGUGAAAAUAACCCAGAGAGAAAGAAAAAAAUGAUGUAAAUUUAAACAUAGCAUAUUCUGGAAACAGUAUGCUUAUGGAACAGCCAGAGAGAUUUUCAAAACUUGAUCAUCUAAAUGCAGAGAACAGUUUCAAGGCUCUUUCUCACUUUCUCAUUUGAUUCCUGCAAUUGAAGCCAUCUGCUAUGCUGUGUCCUGUUCUUUGGAUCAGCACAUAUGACAAGGAAGUGAAAGUAGUCUCUGUCCAACAAUCAGUCUAACAGCCUGAGAAGAACUGAAUUCUGUCAAUGACCACGUAAGCUUCGAAGCAGACCUUUCGCUUGUUGAGCCUUCAGAUAGACAGCAGCCCUAGCUGACAUCUUAACUGCAGUCUUGUGACAGGUCCUCAGACAGGAUAAGCCAAAUUAUACCCAGACUGCUGAUCCACAGAAAAUGAGAGAGCCAGACAAUUAUGCAUUUCUUUAGUCAACAACUAGCUGCUAAUUAUUUACUAUGUGUCAAGUCUUAUAAUGCUGAAGUGAAGAAAAGAGAUUUAAAGUCAUGGAUGUGGUUUCCUUUGGACCUUAAAUUCUAGCACAAAAUAUGAUAAACAUUGUAAUCAAUGCUAUCAUGUACAGGUAUGUGGUGUUAUGUGAAUAUAUGGGAAUACCUAAUUCGUAAACUGGGUUUAGAAAAUUCUUGCAGAAGAAAGUGGCAUCCAAACAAAGAACCAAGAACGAAUAAAAAUUAUUAUAGAUAAAGUGAAGCGGGUCUAGUGGAAUGACAAAAUUACUGAGUGUCAAGAGGUGGAAGGACUUGGUGAAUAAUUUGAAAAGGAACCAUCGGAGGAUGAUGGCCACAUUUCUGGCUCCAGCCAUCAGUAUGAACUUAUGGUUGAAGGCAUUCUCAGGGGUUAACAAGAAUUCUGGACAGAAAUAUGGCUAUAAGUAAGUAUUAAUCAGGCUGCACUUUGACCCACUUCCUUGUAACUGAAAGUCACUAGAUCCUGAAUAUUUGUAUCCCCAUUCCCACUGUUCUUAUAGAUAGAAUCUCUGACAUCAGAAUCAUAAGGCUUUUCUUUAAGAAUUGCUUAAAGAUGUUCUUCGGAUCCCCAAUUCCAGUGAAACAGCUGAUGACAACCAUUUUGAAGACCCCCACAGAGGAACAGAAUCAACAUGAGAUGGUUUCUUCCUCUCCCCAUCCUAUGACUUCCCCCUGUACUCUUCCACCAAUUAACAAUCUCCACACUUUGACCCACUCCAAAACCCUUAAAAACCCAGCCCCAAACUACCUGGGGAGAUGGAUUUGAGGUUCCUUCCCAUCUUCUCCUUCGAUGGCCCAACCAUUAAACCUCUUUCUCUGCUGUAACCUCGUGUCUCAGCAUAUUGACUUUUUGCACAUAUUGGGCAAAAAAAACCUAUUAUGGUUACUUGAUUGUGAUAACAUCAAAAGUACACUGAAUUUGGAGUCAGGAGACCUGAAUUCUAAUCCUAGCUUUGACAUUAAUUAGCUACGUGGAUAUAGGUAACUCACUUCACUUCUGAAGGCCUCAAAGCCCUCCAAGGAUUUUGAGAUAGGCAAUUUUUCCCUCAACUUAGCAUUAUCAUUUCAUGGUUUUAUGAUGCAACUUUUACAGCAUCACAAUGUUCCAUUAAUAAAAUUAUAUUGGUUUUUCCAUAUUUUUAAAUCUAAACCUUCAAAUAACUAUUUGUUUUCAUUUUUUUCUGGUGUGUUGCCUUUGUCUUUCCCCUUUAUUCUUUCAUGUUUUGCUUACCUAAGGAAAAGCUUACAAGAAGGAGCUGUGUCAACAGUAGUUGGUAUGGAUCCACACUAACUUUUAUUUGGGGUUUUAACUAAGAGAACUUAAUGUAUGACUUAUUGUAAAAUUAUAAAAAUCAAAUCAAGUUUUAUAACAACAGCCAUAGAAUGGUCUUUUUUUUUGCAAAACCAAAGAUACAUAUACAUAAAUGAAUAUGAUUUAUGUAGAAAAUGAUAUUAAAGGAUACAUACAAAAUUAUUGAGAAGCAAUUAGCCCUGGAAGAGAAAAAUCUGAGCUAGAGGGGUAGUGAGGCUAAAAUUUGUACUAUAAACUGUCCUAUAUUAUUUAAUUUGGUAUAACAAGAGUGUAUUAUUCUUAUAAUAGGAAUAUUACUUUAAACAUUUUUAUUAACUGAUAUUUAUUUUAUGUAUAUAAGGUUUUUUUUCAAUGUGGCUUUGUAAUCUACCACAUACUGGACUUAAAGUUAUAAACAGGAGAGAUGACUGAAGUGGAGGAAGGUUCAUUAGCCUCACACAGGAAAUGCCUUGAAGUAGACCGUGGGUGAAUCUGUUUAAGCUGUGACCCAAGCAGAAAUACUUUCUUCUCAAAGUGAUUUGAAACUAUUAUUCUCAUUGAAUCUAUGAUAAGAAAACUAAUUAUGAUAACAGACAUACGGUUGGAAGAGGAAACACAGGUAGAGCUGUCUUUACAUUAGAGAAAGAACUGAGAGAGCUAGGCAAAAGCCAUCAUUGGGGGUAACAGAACACAGCAGGGGGAAGCAUUCUGCAGAGCAUAUUGGAACAAAGCAAGUCUCUCCAAAAAAAUCUAAAGAAAAUAUUUUCAGAAAGUGCACAAGGCAAAGACUAAUGGCUCCCUGCAGAUAUUCAUAAGGAUAUAAGAAAGAAGAGGCUUUCCAAGAAAAUAUAACAUAUUUCAACAACAACAAAAGACUGGGCUAGAUUUGAGACACACUAAGAGUCAUUAACAACUAGAAGUUCUUAUCAUAACACUAUCUAUACUGUUUACAAUUGUGUCACUUUAUGCUUAUAUAAAGUAUAAAGAGACCACUUUACAGAAUAUGGGUUCAGUCAUUGUCAGGGUAUCAGAGUAUCUUUUGUUUUCCUUUAUUAUAUUGUAAGGACAACAUAAAGUAACCCAAAGAGAAAGGAGAGAACAGCUUAACCUCUCUAAACACUGCACAUUUUGGAAGUCUAAUCCCCUCUCCCUGUCCCAAAUCCUCUCAUUAUAUCUAAGCCCAGUGGAAGUAUGCUGGUCCUCACAGGCUGGCAGUUUUCUCAACCUGCAAUUAGAGUGUUUAGCUCUUUUUGCCAGCUACAGCUUUAGUCAUCAAUUCCAGGAAACCCUGACACCAAUUCACUGAAUAUCUAAACAUACAUUACCUACUUGAUCAUCUAUAUUCCCAGAUGCAAUGAACAUAUUUUCUUGUUAUCUUUUUAAGUCUUCUAAGUUAUAUUGUGCACAAUUUAAAUACACUUGCCUUAGUUUCUGAGACAGCCGUUUCUCGGUUUUCUAUCUUUCCCAGUUAUUUCUUGCCAAUCUCCUUUGUUAGCUCCUCCUCUUCAACAUGAAUUCUAAAUGUGUUUGCUUCUAUAUCAUAUUUUCUGCUCUAAUAUACCCUGUCUAUAUGUUAUUACAUCCUAAGAAAAAAACAAUUCCUAUCAUAGGUCAAACUUAUGCUCUAAAUUCCAAAAUCAUAUACCCAAUGGCUGAUAUAAUAUAACUAUGAAAUGAGCAAAUUCAAUAUCUAAAGGCCACUAAAUUGGAAUGAGACUUCUACCCGAAACAGAUUCCUCCAAGUCUUCCUUAAAUCCAUAAGUUACUUUCACACACACACAAUGCCCCAAAACAAGAAACCCCAAAGCCACAUUUGUUUCCCAAUUUCCUUCAAUCCCACAUUCAUUCCCAGCAAUUUCAGUCAAUUUUACCUCUAAAAUAUGUUUUGAAUUUGUUUACCUCUUCUGCAAUUCUCUAGUGCAUUACUAAUAUAAAUACAAUGCAAGCAACAUAUGUAAUUUUUAACUUGCUAGUAGUCAUAUUAAAAAUAAUUUGUGUAAGUCAA
Molecule: long non-coding RNA, 4874 nt
Filed under: Homo sapiens (human)
Lineage: Eukaryota; Metazoa; Chordata; Mammalia; Primates; Hominidae
Description: HSALNT0358274
Source: RNAcentral